GUCAUACGAGUCCACUCAACCCAACGCCACAUUGGAAUCAAACUCCCUUUGGAAAAUAUUCAACUCUCUCUCCUGCUGGGUCCCACCAAAAACCUUUCCCUCUGGGUCAAACCUGCGCUUCGCCUAUUCAGCAAAAUGAACUGAAACCGCGGCUGAGUAUUCCUAUUCAAAAUGUCAGGGAUGGAGAUCGUCAAACACAACCGUCAAGAAACUUAUUUCCUGAAGCAGAAGAUUACAACUUUUAAACAACAGCUGCCUCUUAACAACAGACAAAGAUCCUUCACGUCCUUGCGACUCUGCAAUCGCCCCCACACAACUUUCUCAUUCUCAAUAUAACAAGCAGCCAGAAAAUAGAAAGAGAAACAACCGAGCGUUGUGAAAAACCUUCUCCGAGUUUAUCACAAUCCGAAGCAAACCACAAACAAUCGAUGGCAUUUUCUUAUUCCAAUUUAACGCGAAUUCUGCAAACACUGGAAAUCACCUAAAGUGAGCGCUAUAAAGAACCGCUGAGAAAUAACUAGAGUCAACCCAAAAAUGACUAAUUGUUAGAAAAAGAACCUCUCUAGGGCUCCGAUUCAUGCGCGCGACGGCGAGCACUGGAAGACUAACCCAUUUUGUUGAUCUGGUUUUGUUGUGCCAGUGAGGCGACUCUAGAAUCUUCACCUUUCCUUUUUUGGGUUGAAUCUUUUGGUUGUACCUAGGCCAGCUAAUCGACGCGAGAAACCACUGCCCAUGAAUUUGCCACUUUCCAAUCAGAAACUCAAGGGACCGCCUGACGAACCACGCCGCCGCCGGCUGAUGGACCACUCCACCUCCGCCUUCGCCUUCCGAAGCGCUGCGGCAGGCUCCGUCGUCCGUCGGAGAAGGAGCAGCGCGACGAAGGGGCAGAACGAACGAGAAAAUAUUAGCUGCAGCUCGGAUGCAGCGGCGGCCGACGAGGCGGACGCGGAAGCGGCGGGGGCGGCGGCAGCGUGGUUCUUUGGACGGCAAGCUCCAUCGUCCGUCGCUGCGAGCGAAGGGUCGAGCGGCC
Molecule: long non-coding RNA, 1030 nt
Filed under: Eucalyptus grandis
Lineage: Eukaryota; Viridiplantae; Streptophyta; Magnoliopsida; Myrtales; Myrtaceae
Description: long non-coding RNA (EGRA_LNC000260)
Source: RNAcentral